CCCUUAGAUGUUCUGGGCCGCACGCGCGCUACACUGAUGCAUUCAACGAGCCUAUCCUUGACCGACAGGUCCGGGUAAUCUUUGAAUCUGCAUCGUGACGGGGAUAGAUUAUUGCAAUUAUUAAUCUUCAACGAGGAAUGCCUAGUAAGCGCAAGUCAUCAGCUUGCGUUGAUUACGUCCCUGCCCUUUGUACACACCGCCCGUCGCUCCUACCGAUUGAAUGGUCCGGUGAAGCGUUUGGACUAUGGUUUUCUGACGGUUCGCCAUUGGAUUACCGUGGGAAAUUCGUUAAACCUUAUCAUUUAGAGGAAGGAGAAGUCGUAACA
RNAcentral lists this ribosomal RNA (326 nucleotides) under uncultured eukaryote. Its description in RNAcentral is "partial 18S ribosomal RNA". It matches the Rfam family "Eukaryotic small subunit ribosomal RNA", at positions 1470 to 1796 of the family's 1831-position model. The record is from RNAcentral.